GUCGACUUUAAAAAUCGUGAGGGUUCAAGUCCCUCUAUCCCCA
RNAcentral lists this transfer RNA (43 nucleotides) under Coffea arabica (coffee). Its description in RNAcentral is "partial tRNA-Leu". The record is from RNAcentral. Lineage: Eukaryota; Viridiplantae; Streptophyta; Magnoliopsida; Gentianales; Rubiaceae.